Molecule: transfer RNA, 72 nt
Filed under: Micropoecilia bifurca
Lineage: Eukaryota; Metazoa; Chordata; Actinopteri; Cyprinodontiformes; Poeciliidae
Description: tRNA-Trp
Rfam family: tRNA
About the family: Transfer RNA (tRNA) molecules are approximately 80 nucleotides in length. Their secondary structure includes four short double-helical elements and three loops (D, anti-codon, and T loops). Further hydrogen bonds mediate the characteristic L-shaped molecular structure. tRNAs have two regions of fundamental functional importance: the anti-codon, which is responsible for specific mRNA codon recognition, and the 3' end, to which the tRNAs corresponding amino acid is attached (by aminoacyl-tRNA synthetases). tRNAs cope with the degeneracy of the genetic code in two manners: having more than one tRNA (with a specific anti-codon) for a particular amino acid; and 'wobble' base-pairing, i.e. permitting non-standard base-pairing at the 3rd anti-codon position.
Source: RNAcentral
AGGGGUUUAGGAUAAUUUUAAGACCAAGGGCCUUCAAAGCCCUAAGUGCGGGUGAGACUCCCUCAACCCUUG